Molecule: ribosomal RNA, 407 nt
Filed under: uncultured Bacteroides sp.
Lineage: Bacteria; Pseudomonadati; Bacteroidota; Bacteroidia; Bacteroidales; Bacteroidaceae
Description: bacterial SSU rRNA
Rfam family: Bacterial small subunit ribosomal RNA
Source: RNAcentral
CUUGCCGGCGACCGGCGCACGGGUGAGUAACACGUAUCCCACCUUCCGUUUACUCGGGGAUAGCCUUUCCAAAGAAAGAUUAAUACCCGAUAGUAUGGUGAGAUUGCAUGAUAACACCAUUAAAGAUUCAUCGGUAAACGAUGGGGAUGCGUUCCAUUAGGUAGUAGGCGGGGUAACGGCCCACCUAGCCUACGAUGGAUAGGGGUUCUGAGAGGAAGGUCCCCCACAUUGGAACUGAGACACGGUCCCAACUCCUACGGGAGGCAGCAGUGAGGAAUAUUGGUCAAUGGGCGAGAGCCUGAACCAGCCAAGUAGCGUGAAGGAUGAAGGUCCCACGGAUUGUAAACUUCUUUUAUAAGGGAAUAAAACGCUCCACGUGUGGAGCCCUGUAUGUACCUUAUGAAUAA